This 263-nucleotide ribosomal RNA is filed under the name uncultured archaeon. RNAcentral describes it as "partial 16S ribosomal RNA". It matches the Rfam family "Archaeal small subunit ribosomal RNA", at positions 748 to 1009 of the family's 1478-position model. The record is from RNAcentral.
UAGCCGUAAACGAUACUCGCUAGGUGUCGGCCACGGUGCGACCGUUGUCGGUGCCGUAGGGAAGCCGUGAAGCGAGCCACCUGGGAAGUACGGCCGCAAAGGCUGAAACUUAAAGGAAUUGGCGGGGGGAGCACCACAACGGGUGGAGCUUGCGGUUUAAUUGGAUUCAACGCCGGAAAUCUUACCGGGACCGACAGCAACAUGAAGGCCAAGCUGAAGACUUUGCCGGAUUAGCUGAGAGGUGGUGCAUGGCGUAGUCGUGU